Non-coding RNA from Pelobates cultripes (western spadefoot toad), 410 nucleotides. Lineage: Eukaryota; Metazoa; Chordata; Amphibia; Anura; Pelobatidae. The record is from the annotation of a GenBank genome assembly.
GACCCAACAUGCUCCCGCACCUAACCUUGACCUUAUAGCUAUAUAUAAUAGGUGCUGAAAUGCGCCAAUCAAAGCCAAAGCUUUAUCCCUUGGAUAUGCCGCCUUAGGGCAACAUCCCCCUCUGACGAAUUUUGCUUUUGCGAUUCAAUGGCAUAAAGAAGGGCACCCACAGUUCACUACUGUUCAGUGGCUAAGGUCACUUGGGGCACUCAAAGGCGUGACCUCUUGCUACUCCUACAUAGAGGCACAUAAGAAACUUGUGUAUCGGUGGUACCUCACACCUCACAAACUACAUAAAAUUUAUCCGGCAACUCCGAACACGUGCUGGCGAUGCACUAAUGAUAUAAGGACAAUGAGGCAUGUCUGGUGGGACUGCCCAAAUAUUUCACCAUUGUGGACUGAAGUCCAAC